AUCGCAAGGCAUAUGAUAUGGUACCUCAUUCUUGGAUAGUGGAAUGUAUGAGUAUGUUCAAAAUCGCAGCAAAUGUGAGAACGUUUGUGGAAAGUAGUAUGGAGAACUGGAAAACGGAGUUAACAUCUUCGGGAGAAAGUCUUGGAAAUGUGAAUUUAAGACGAGGUAUUUUUCAAGGAGAUAGUUUAUCUCCAUUGAUAUUUGUGAUGUGCAUGAUACCAUUAAGCUUGAUACUGAGAAAGGAAAAGGUAGGGUAUGAAUUUCGCGGAAAAAGAACUCAAAAUCAACCAUCUAUUCAUGGAUGAUCUGAAGUUGUUUGGAAAGAACAAGGAGCAAAUAGACUCACUGGUGAAAACUAUCCAUAUUGUUAGCAAAGACAUUGGAAUGGAAUUUGGGAUAAAGAAAUGUGGAAUGCUUGUAAUGAAAAGAGGAAAGAUUGUGGAAUGUAAUGGAAUACAGCUACUUGAUGAGGAAACAAUAAAGUCCGUAGAAGAAGAUGGAUAUAAAUGUCUUGGUAUACUGGAAUUAGAUAAAAUUAUGGAGGGUGAAAUGAAGAGAAAGUUUGUAAAGGAAUACGGGAGGAGAUUAAGACUGGUGCUGAAAUCAAAACUGAAUGGCAGAAACAAAAUCAUGGCGAUGAAUACUUGGGCUGUUGCGCUACUGAGGUAUGGAGCUGCUGUUUUGAAAUGGACAAAAGAUGAAAUUGCUGCAAUGGAUCACAAAACACGUAAACUGAUGACACUGUAUGGUGCUCUUCAUCCAAGAAGCGACAUUCAUCGAUUAUAUUUACCGAGAGAAAAGGGCGGAAGAGGUUUGAUCAGUUAUGAAGGAUGCAUUCGUACAGAGGAGAACAGUUUGGGAUGGUAUGUAAAGAACAGUGUGGAACCACUUUUACAACAAGUUGCAAAGACAGGUGUGAUUGAAACGGAAAGAUGCGAAACAAAAGAAAAUUUUAAGAAGAAAGCAGUAGAGGAGCUAGAGAAAGCUUGGAUUGACAAGAAAAUGUAUGGACAAUAUAACAGAGAUUUAGGUAAAGAAGUGGAUAGGGAGAAGACAUGGUGGUGGCUGAAGAAAGGAGACUUGAAACCUGAGACUGAAGAACUUCUUUGUGCUGCACAAGAACAAGCUCUAAGGACAAAUUAUGUAAAGUUUCACAUAGAUAGAACUGUCGAAUCUCCACUCUGUAGACUUUGUGGGGGAAAAGGGAGAGCAUAUAACACACUUGAUAAGUGAAUGCAAAAAGCUAGCACAAAAAGAAUACAAACGAAGACAUGACAAUGUGGCUCGCAUUGUACACUGGAAGCUAUGUGGUUUGUACCAACUAGAGAAAGCUGAAAAAUGGUAUAAACACCAACCAAAUUGAGUAAUUGAAUCAGAUAAUGUAAAGAUUCUCUGGGAUUUUAACAUACAGUGCGAUCAUGUGAUUGAAUGUCGAAGACCUGAUAUUGUAGUGGUUUUAAAGAAGGAAAAGGAAUGCAAGAUCAUAGACAUCGCAGUUCCAGGGGACUGUAGAAUUGGUAUAAAAGAAACAGAGAAGGUAAAAAAGUAUGAGGAGUUGAAAAGGGAAAUUUGGAAAAUAUGGGCAAUGAAAAAAGUAGAAGUCAUUCCAAUAGUAGUAGGUGCCUUAGGAGCAGUUAGUAAUAAACUGGAUAAGUGGAUUGAGAAAUUGGGAAUACAUAUAAGAAUAGAACUUCUACAAAAACAGCAUUGUUAGGUACGGCAAGAAUACUGAGAAGAAGCUUGGAAAGCUACAAUCUUUGGGACCUGAGGCUACUGGUUGUAGCCAGCUUCCAAGGAAAAAACAUAGCCAGCAUAAGAACAAAGCUGUG
Paramuricea clavata is the source of this 1829-nucleotide non-coding RNA. The record is from the annotation of a GenBank genome assembly. Lineage: Eukaryota; Metazoa; Cnidaria; Anthozoa; Malacalcyonacea; Plexauridae.